Molecule: ribosomal RNA, 798 nt
Filed under: Triticum aestivum (bread wheat)
Lineage: Eukaryota; Viridiplantae; Streptophyta; Magnoliopsida; Poales; Poaceae
Description: partial small subunit ribosomal RNA
Source: RNAcentral
AUGCAUCCGCUCGAACCUGCCGCGUGCGGCGAGGGAGGGGCCACGGUACGUCCCCGACAGCCCGCUCUGGGAACCUACUUCCGCCGCCGUCAUGCCCAGCAACUCGAGGCCACCAACGGCGUCGUGCCCUCCGGCAGGCUCAACACCGCCGGCCGGCGUCUGUGGUGGGGCGUGCCCGGGCGCACGUUGGAGGCCGUCCUCGAGUACAUCGAGGGCGGCAACACGCCGCGCCUCGAGUACCCCGCCCCCCCUUCCUUGUCACGCCGCCGGGGAAGCUCCUGGACCCCGAGGCGCAUGGAGACCGGGGGGUCCUCCUCCUCGUCCGGCGGCUCGCCCUGCCUCCGCCCCGUCAAGCCGGAGCCCCAGGACACACCGGUCAGUGCACGCACCCGCAGCUCCGGCGUCCGCAUCGGCGCCAACGCCUCUCCACCCACCGGCCGCUUCGUCCUCGUCGAGCCCAAGCCGGAGCCCGGCCUCCCCGCAGAGUACAAGGAGAUAGCCCGGCGCGGCUUCUCCGACGAGGACGCCAUGCGGUGGGAGCGGGACGACUAUCUCCGCGACGAGAUGGUCGCCCUGGAGGAGAUCGCCGCCCGCAAGCGUGGGCGCGAGGACGAGCACGACGUCGUGGUCCUCGACAGCGACGACGACGACGCCCCCGGACCGUCCAACCCGCCGCGCCAACCGGGGGAGGGAUGCAACAGGGACGGCGGAGGCGGAGGCAGGGGCGGCGACGACGAGGACGACGAUGACGACGACGGCGGUGACUACACGUGGUUCUACAGCCUCCUCGGCAUGUAG